AAAGAUAUAAACAAACCCACAUGAUAACUGUAAAUCAGAGAAAAAAUAUAUCAGAUUUCAUGAUCCCAUAAGCAUUACUUAUUAAAAAAAAGAAAGGUAGCAAAAAGAGCAUGAUAGCUACAACAUUCAUAAUUGGAGCUAAGUAAAACUAAAAAAAUAAUAAUAUUCCCAUAUUUAUCUACUGAGGGAAAAAUACUCGACGCAUUGAGAAACUCCUGUUGCAUUUUAUUCACAAAAAAGAAAAAGGGGACACCAAAUGGUUAUGAUUGUCACCUAUGCAUUAGAAGAAACCAAAUGAAAAAAAGAUUUGGAAAAUAAGAGAAUUGUGAAAUUUACCUGGAGUGGAGAGAGGAAGGCUUAGAGUGGAGAGAGGAAGGCUUAAAGGGACGGAUAAGGGACAAGGUUUCUACAUAGAACUGUUUACCAGAAAAACAACCAAAUUAUUUUUUCCCUACAGAGAAUAAUUUAUCACAAAACAAUAUUGAGAGAAAACCCUAAAUCCAUUUUCACCAUGUUCAGAACCUAGAGAAAAAAUCAGAGCGAUAAAAGAAAAACCAUGGGAUAGAGAAAAAACCAGAGAGAAAAAAAAUUAGGGGAGAGACAAAAAACCAGAGAGAGGAAAAACUGAGAUGUAUCUUUGUUAGGAGGCACGUAGGCGCAAAGAGAAGGCGCGAGAUGGUCUCUUAUCUGUGGUUAGGGCAGUCGAGGGCAAGCAAAUACCCUCUGUAGAAGACGCCUUCUGUAGAGAGAAUGGACCAAGGGAGAGAGAGAGAGAGGGGCGAAGGGAGAAGAGCGUGUGAGAGAGCUUCGUUACAUAAACAAAGCUUAUACAGAGGAUAAGAGAGAGAGAGAGGGGAGAAGGGAGAAGAGCGGUUGAGAGAGCAUCAGUAUAUAAACAAAGCUUAUGCAGAGAAGAGGAGAGAGAGAGAGCUUUGUCCUCCAGUAUGUGCAUAAAGAAGAGAGAUAGAGAGAGGAGAAAGAGCUUUAUGAGAGGAACCAAGAGUAGAGAGAGAUAAAGAAUAGAGAGCUUUAAUCGAGAAGAAGAGAGCUUUGUCAGGAAGUGAGGGUCUUUAUUAGAGAGAGAGAAGAGAGAGCUUGAUCAGAGAGAGCAGGCUUCAUCUUAGAGAGGAACAUGCUUCGUUAGCGAGGGUCUUCACACGAGGAACUUCCGCAUUGAAGUUCUCAA
This 1186-nucleotide long non-coding RNA is filed under the name Amborella trichopoda. Its description in RNAcentral is "long non-coding RNA (ATRI_LNC000565)". Lineage: Eukaryota; Viridiplantae; Streptophyta; Magnoliopsida; Amborellales; Amborellaceae. The record is from RNAcentral.